UGGACCUUCAACUGGGCAGCAGUGCCUUGCUCGAGGGCAGCGGCAGGGGGGAUACCAUGCCUUUCCAAGAGCACAGAAACUGGGGCACGGCGAGGAAAGCCAUGUGUUGAGUUCUCAGUUUGACUUCUGCCAGUAGUUUGAAUCUCUUCAUUUCCCCCUGAAGAUGCCAGAUCUUCAUAAUGUUCUCACACUCAAAAGAAAUUGUACAUGCACGCCAUAUACACAAUAUACAUAUUUAUAAUAGAUCGGAUAUAUGAUCUUAAUUUGCAAAUUGUUAUCCCAAUACUUAUGUCAAAAUACGUUAAUAUAUCAAUAAGCUGAGUCUUACACCAUCAACGUUAUUCCCUGUUUUCAGCUGUUUGCAAACAUCUGACAAGAUAACCUUUUCACUUGGUUCAUAUCACUUAUUUCCUUUAGUUUGUGAACUAAAGUAUUUAUUCUAAUUAUCGACUGUCGUGGUUUGGGUUCACUUCUUGUUUUAUUUUGUAGUUUCAUGUCUCUUGUGUCACUUCCUGCCGUGUCCUGCCGUCCCCUGUGACUGUCUGCCGUGUCCAUGAGUGUUUCCAGUGUAGUUUGGUCAUUUGCUCAUCGUGAGCUGCUCCCCUUCAGGGCGACCAAGUGGUUGACAUGUUGAUUGUCCUCCUCUGUAGAAGAAGUCGUGUCCUGGACAGCUUCUCCCUGCGUGUCUCUGUCUCUGUCUCACCACCUGAGUCGGAGGAGAGCGAGCAUGUGUCUCAGUCCCACUCUACAUCUGUCGCACUGCAACGUGUGUGUCGCACCACCGGUUAGCAUGUGUGUUUGUACAUGCUCUUGAUGGUGUUGGUGAGGUGGUGUGUGUGUGUGUGUGUGUGUGUGUGUGUGUGUGUGUGUGUAGCAGCAGAUGUCAUUUGUUCUGAAGUCAGCAGCUGGAUCCUAAGUUCCCAUUGGGACCUUUUAAUGUCUGCAGUACAGACACACAGCGGCCUGUGGACACCCGACCACGUGUGAUCACCAGUGACGGUACCAUCAGCCUUUUGGGUGGAGGCCUGGUUUUAGGUCAGAUGUAGUAGAUAUCAGCAGAACGUCUGACCUGCAGGUUUUUGGAGCACAGCACCUGUUGUUCCAGGAGACGGAUGGAAACAAAAGCUUCAGGUUGAACAAAACCAAGACCAAUCUUAAGUAAAAACUUUAAUUCAAAAAUCAAUUUUUCAUUCGUCUUUGGCUCAUUUUGUGAAAAACGACAACAAUGAAAAAAGGAAUUGUAACGCACCACAAGAGACCAGAGUGAACUCAAGCGCAGAGCGCAGUUUUAUUAGCGGGGUACAGACAAGGAUCAGGCGUGGUCGUAGCUGGAGGUCAGGCGGGGGGUCGAGAGCCGGGAGCGCAGAGGUAGGCAGAGGUACCGUCGGGGGUCAGGCAGGCGUGAACGAGGUCUGGGACAAAGGAGAGAUCAAUAACAGGUAGGCAGAAACAGGAUAUCUAGAGAACGCUCAGAAUGUGAUGGCAACAUGCACAAGACUUCGCACCGGCCUCUGAGGCUUCGGCAGCUUAAAUGCCCAACCUCUCCUGAUGAGAGACGAGCCACAGGUGCGUUGGUGGGAGUGGCCGCGCCCGCUCAGUGGGCUGAUCCCGAGUGGCACAAACCAUUGUAACGUGCCACAGAGGGGUGACUGGGAUCCCGAGCUUCGGACCUUAGUAUUCCGGAGACGGGGAACGUCUGUUUGUGACAGGAAUAUUGAGAAAAGAAGACAGAGAUGCAGCAGUCUCCUUUGUUGGUAGAAGAACACACGUGCAUUAAAUACACAUGAAACCCUUAUUGCACUUAUUGCAAACCUAAACCGGCACAAAACUUAAUCAAAACUGUGUUCGUAAUACAAGUUUCCGUCAUACAUUUAGUUUGUAAAUGAUGUCAUUUGUCUUGCUGUAUUCUAGGAACGACGUACAGAUGCUCUGACAGCUCGUCUCUGAGGCAGAAAGUGUAAUUGAGUGAUGUGCUUUGUGUUUUCUCGUCGCGUUUGGGAAGGAAUGGAAGCUGAAGGACUGAAGGAGCGACAAAGAGCUUGUUUCGGUCAGUCAGUUAAUAGUUAAUGGUACAAAAUGUUAAUGUCGGGGGCAUUUCUGAGCCGGUCACCAACAGCUGCCUCCUAAAGACUACAGAUGUUAAUGAGUCCAGUGGCAACUCAUCGGAUUCGCGUUCCACGAUGUUUAAUGACAGUUUGGACUGUGUUGGUUGAGCGGAGACAUAAGACACAAGACAAUCCUUAUGAAGGUAUGUGAGGACAUAUUAAAUGUAUAAAAAAGGACAGCAAAUACAUCUGUGUGGUGGAUGAUCAGUCAAAGCUUUAAACCAACUCCAUUUGAUUAUUUCUGGUAAUCAGAUGAAAAAAUACAAACUGUAGCCACUUUGAAUCAGGAAUCAUGUAUUGCCAAAAUAUGUCAAACAUAUUUUUCCAGGACAGCAGUGCACAAGGAAUAAAAUAAAGUAAAACUAAAUGAAAUGCUAAACAUGUAGAAUGAAAUAAGCAGCCGGGCUCUGUGGUGCUGAUGAAAUAUGAGAUACUAUUAUUCCAGUUCCAUUAGUAUUCAGUACACCAGUUUCACUGCCGUCCCUCGGUUACCUCCUUCCAAUGCGGUUUGACAGUUCAGAACAUUAAAAGGGCCUCGCAUGCUCAGUAAACUAGUAAAAGCAGCAGCAACAUGGCGGAAAUGGGUGGAAAUAUCACUUGAAGCCAAAGUACAACAGCAUCUCCGCUGUGUGCUCUGGGUCAGGGUUAGGGUUAGGGUUAGGGUCAGGGUCAGGGUUAGGGUUAGGGUUAGGGUUAUGCAGGACGAGAGGACCCAGUGACGUAAAGAUCAACUCUUUAGAUCUACUUGUAAGACACAUAAUUAUCUUUUGCAGUUUUGCAGCUCAGCCUGUAGCCAGGCACCAUAUGGCCGUCUCGUGGAGGAUCUAGCCUCGUCCUGACAAUCAGGACCACGGGCUAAAACCCUGCUGGAUCUGGACCACGGCCAGAUGAGAGGAAGACUGCGAGAGCCACACAAACCUCAGGGAAAUAAAAAAUACCUCCAAAUGGACGUGAAGUAAGUGGUACAGAGAAAGGACACCAAACAGAUCAUCUGAGGGACAAAGAGACAGGGUGAGCGGGAGGCAACGCUAAUAAUAAUAAUAGUAAAAGGAAUUAAAGUAGAGAAGGAAAAAGUGGGCUAAACAAUGUUUAGCCAAUUAAGCGUUGCAGAGGAAUCCAUGUGCACAAUGAGCCACCCAUGACUGAACGCAGAGGCAGAGCUGCUUAAUUACAGCCCGAAGAGACACGAGUCUUCAUCAGAGCGGAAACACAGGGGAGGAAGCGAGAAAGUGCUUUUCAGUCCCGGUGAGGACGGAGAGAAGGAUGGAAGGAAAUAAAGAAUCAAUCUGAGCUUAGUUUUUCCUUAAACAUUUAUAAUAUUCUUGAAUUUGUGAAAAAACUAAGAAACACAUGUCACACAUGUGUGUGGACACACAGAGACACGGGGUGAUGACGGGCAAUUAAACCAAUGAGUUCCUUGUAAAAAACAUGGCCCCUCCAAGUAAGAAAAGAAAUGAAAAUAGGACACGGCGGAUAGGAACCCGCCCUGAACCAGGAGGAAGAUGAGUCCGGCUUCUGGAGGUCACAAAUACGUGGACAGACACAGGGGUUCAAACUACCAACUGUUCGACAAAUGGAGGCAGCGACGAGCGGCGCUUCCUCUCAGAUUGAUAAUCCCUCACAAGUGGGUUGGCUGCUCAUUUUUUGCUCAACUUGAUCAAAUUGAUCUCCGUAGGUCACCAGUGGUGUUUGUCAUCUGUCACAUUCCACAGUCGGGGGGUUGUGUAUUUCUCGUCUGUUUAUAACAUAUUCGCCUUGCCGGUGGGACGCAGUGAGGUGCUACAGACAAACGGCCCAGUCAGCAUGUGCUACGUAACAAAGACUGAAAACAUACGAGAUUCACACUUUUAGUCCCUCUUAACAUCUUUUAAGUUGAGCAAUACAAAGUUGGUUAGUCUGUUGCCUCAACGCGACUGAGCCCUUUGCUGGGAGCUAACCGUGCUAAUAAUGCUAAAAACACCAGAGUUUCCCUUUGGGGGAACCAGAGGCUGGACGCCGUUAUCAGACACAACUGCUGCGUGACUGCGCCAAAACGGGAAGCGGCCAGACGUGCACUCUCACGUGCACUAAAAAGCACCGGCCCUCCUUCGUGAACGGCUCAUUUCACCGUCCUUUACAAUUCGCCGUGUGACACUCGCUUCUGCAUGUUUUCAAACGCACUCACGCCACACAUCCGAUUUUUCUCGCCAAAAAAAUCUGAUUUUGUGUCGAGACGCGUUGCUUCCUUUUCCACCGACGGCAGGUGGCGCUAAGGAGCACAUCUGUGAUCCUAUUCGCUGCAUAAUCCAGAAAAUCCUCAUCUCCAAUGUUAACGACAUGAGGUUCAAAUAAGAACUCACUCUCUUCUCUUGGAAGCAAUUAUUGGUUUGUGUUUGUGUGCGUCAACUUGAUUUUGUGUGCUGAAUGUAAAGUGUCACAACAAGCAGCACCUUGUUAAGCUCGAGGUGUACUGCCUGCAGCAUUGUUCAUUGACGCUGCUCACAUUGCAUUUAUCUUUUUAUUAAUUAACGAAAAGGACUCCCUCUGAAGUCGGGAAAGACGGACAAACACACUGACAGACCAACUAUGGAAACAACAGGGCCGCAGACAGCAGCCAAACAACAGGAGCAUCGAACGUACAAACUACGUAUUUACUGGUCGUUCCUGCAGAUGCACAUUUGAAAACAAACCUUCCAACUGGUCCUUUCACUGUUCUGGUACAGCCCGGUGUUCAGGUGAGCGUGUGAGGAACGUGUUGUUGUUGUUGUUUGUCUUUCGUAGCUGCACAUUGAGGUGUAUUAGGCUUACAGGGGAGGAGAGGAACUUCUCCAUCUAUGUUCUGCUGUGCUGCCUGGCACACAUGUUUACCCCGGGGUGACUGCCAGGAAGUAUUUCUAUAAACAGGGUAAUUCUGGAAAAAUCACUGGCAGCUAAACCCCCCCCAGCACCACAUCCCCCCCCGUG
Long non-coding RNA from Gasterosteus aculeatus aculeatus (three-spined stickleback), 5048 nucleotides. The record is from Ensembl. NCBI's taxonomy places the organism in Eukaryota, Metazoa, Chordata, Actinopteri, Perciformes, Gasterosteidae.